GACAGAGGGUGCAAACGUUGCUCGGAAUUACUGGGCGUAAAGCGCGUGUAGGCGGGCCGGAAAGUCGGGCGUGAAAUCCCUGGGCUCAACCCAGGAACUGCACUCGAAACUUCCGGUCUAGAGUGGUGGAGAGGGAAGUGGAAUUCCAGGUGUAGCGGUGAAAUGCGUAGAUAUCUGGAGGAAUACCGGUGGCGAAGGCGGCAUCCUGGACCGACAUUGACGCUGAACGGCGAAAGCUAGGGGAGCAAACGGG
This 253-nucleotide ribosomal RNA is filed under the name uncultured bacterium. Its description in RNAcentral is "partial 16S ribosomal RNA". It matches the Rfam family "Bacterial small subunit ribosomal RNA", at positions 524 to 776 of the family's 1533-position model. The record is from RNAcentral.